Long non-coding RNA from Odocoileus virginianus texanus, 615 nucleotides. RefSeq lists it as uncharacterized. The record is from RefSeq and is a predicted model, not a curated record. Lineage: Eukaryota; Metazoa; Chordata; Mammalia; Artiodactyla; Cervidae.
GUUACUUUGGUGCGUGAGCACGUCCCGGCUGGCCCUGGGCGGUGACUGGGAGCGCUCCACGUCCGUCCUGAGGGGCUUGAGGCCGAGUAGGGCGUUGUCUUCAGUUCCCAGCGAGGAGCCCCUCAAGUCCCCACGGCCACGAUGCUUCCGGUGAGCAAGCUCUCUCAGGAGUCGAGAAGAAUCCGGCACUGUCAUCCUUCAGAACCAGCGACUUCGGCGCACUUGCAAGCCGCUGCCAGGCUCCAGAAAUCCUAGAAGGAUGCAGUCGCUUCCCCCGCCAAGACCCCCGCCGCUCCCAUGCUACAGUGGAAGUGAGGUGCAGGAGACAGGAGGACCAGACAGUUCUCUGUCACAGUGGUCUCUUUAAAACACACCGAGGGGCCAGAGAAUAAGAUGGCCACCCUCUGAUGACUGAGUGAACAGUUUCUCCAGCUCGGCCGUAGCAGUGCUCUUCGGGGAAGGACAGGAGUCUGGCGCACAGGCAUGCAGCUCUGAGGGAUGAAAGUCAUCAGCUUACAAGGGGAUGUGAAUGUUACAGCACAGGUUGCCCUGUAUCCUCUGCCCAAGCAGAUGGCACAAUGACAUGGUGAUACAGGUAAUAAAAGUUUUCCUCCA